This 253-nucleotide ribosomal RNA is filed under the name uncultured bacterium. Its description in RNAcentral is "partial 16S ribosomal RNA". It matches the Rfam family "Bacterial small subunit ribosomal RNA", at positions 524 to 776 of the family's 1533-position model. The record is from RNAcentral.
UACAGGGGGUGCAAACGUUGCUCGGAAUUAUUGGGCGUAAAGCGCACGUAGGCGGUUCGUUAUGUCGGAUGUGAAAGCCCUUGGCUCAACUGAGGAAGUGCAUCCGAAACUGGCGAGCUAGAGUAUGUAAGAGGGUCGCGGAAUUCCCGGUGUAGAGGUGAAAUUCGUAGAUAUCGGGAGGAACACCGGUGGCGAAGGCGGCGACCUGGGACAAUACUGACGCUGAGGUGCGAAAGCGUGGGGAGCAAACAGG